UGUGACAUCAGCUGAUGUAAGAAGGGUUUUAUAAAUACAUUUGAUUGAUUGAUUGAAAUUUGAUUGAAUUAUAAAACAAUAAAUAAUUCAUUAUUCUCCUGCUGUAGCAUACUGGCUCAAAUUAAGAUCCUACAUCUGUACAUGUUAUGUUUACUACUACAGUCUGAGGGUCUUCUGUUCAUGGGCUUACUUAAGCAGAAGACCCAAUACCAGAUUACCAGAUCAUAAGGAGUGUCAGCUACAACAACAGCGGGGACUACAGAUGUGAUGCUAGGAAGGAUCUCACCGGAAAAUAUGUCUCUAUGGGCCAUAGUCUGUCAGUUAAAGGAACAAGAAAGAGACCAAUGAAGAGAAAGAUACAGACACACUGAGCAGAUCGUCCCGGACAGAAGAUAUGUCCAUGUCCAGCCCUGACAAAGGACGUGAGGGGCACGAACUGACCACCCAAAUCCAGGAAAGAACCCAUGAUCGCAAGCAACCACAACCAGGCACCAGCCAUACUAUAGCCACCAGCCAUGUACCAGGAACCAAAGCUUCUGCAGGUGUACACAAGUAUGAGUACGUAGGAAAUAAGAAAACUGGAGCUCCAACACCACCUCAAGAAUGAGUUUCCACCACAAAGUUAAAUAAAACAAUUAUGAUAUUGUAUACCUAUGGUUCCCACCAUGUCCUGUAUGAGUUAUUUACAGCGAUAGCAGCAUUGUGACAGACUGUGGGUCUGUUAGUAUACUUCAGUGACUGAGUCCUUUACUGUUCUCUCUCAGGGAAAACUUCCUACCAGACAAACCAACACUGACACUUUGCCUCGGUGUAACGGCUGUCUUUGGAAGAAGAGGACCAAGGCGCAGCGUGGUGAGUGCUCAUCAUUUAAUAUAUAUUCUGAGAACACAAUAUACAAAGCGAAAACGACAGCCAAACAGUUCUGUCAGAUCUACAAACCACUAAACAGAAAUUAACCACCCACAAAACCCAAAGGAAA
Molecule: long non-coding RNA, 979 nt
Organism: Salmo salar (Atlantic salmon)
Lineage: Eukaryota; Metazoa; Chordata; Actinopteri; Salmoniformes; Salmonidae
Source: RefSeq, a predicted model, not a curated record